GACGUAGGGCGCGAGCGUUGUCCGGAUUUAUUGGGCGUAAAGGGCGCGUAGGCGGCUCGGCACGUCCGUUGUGAAAUCGCCCGGCUCAACUGGGCGGGGUCAGCGGAUACGGCCGAGCUUGAGCAAGCUAGGGGGCAAUGGAAUUCCCGGUGUAGUGGUGGAAUGCGUAGAUAUCGGGAGGAACACCAGUGGCGAAGGCGGUUGCCUGGAGCUUUGCUGACGCUGAUGCGCGAAAGCGUGGGGAGCGAUCCGG
Molecule: ribosomal RNA, 253 nt
Filed under: uncultured bacterium
Lineage: Bacteria
Description: partial 16S ribosomal RNA
Rfam family: Bacterial small subunit ribosomal RNA
Source: RNAcentral